UGGGGAAUAUUGGACAAUGGGCGCAAGCCUGAUCCAGCCAUGCCGCGUGAGUGAUGAAGGCCCUAGGGUUGUAAAGCUCUUUCACCGGUGCAGAUAAUGACGGUAACCGGAGAAGAAGCCCCGGCUAACUUCGUGCCAGCAGCCGCGGUAAUACGAAGGGGGCUAGCGUUGUUCGGAUUUACUGGGCGUAAAGCGCACGUAGGCGGACUAUUAAGUCAGGGGUGAAAUCCCGGGGCUCAACCCCGGAACUGCCUUUGAUACUGGUAGUCUUGAGUUCGAGAGAGGUGAGUGGAAUUCCGAGUGUAGAGGUGAAAUUCGUAGAUAUUCGGAGGAACACCAGUGGCGAAGGCGGCUCACUGGCUCGAUACUGACGCUGAGGUGCGAAAGCGUGGGGAGCAAACAGG
Molecule: ribosomal RNA, 404 nt
Filed under: Actinomycetes bacterium
Lineage: Bacteria; Bacillati; Actinomycetota; Actinomycetes
Description: Actinobacteria bacterium partial 16S ribosomal RNA
Rfam family: Bacterial small subunit ribosomal RNA
Source: RNAcentral